CCGGCACUCAUUCAUCCACACUGCAGCGCGGAAAGGGCACGGGGUGGCAAAUCCGUGAAGCCAGCAGCACGACUGGCAAAACUUUCCACUCCUUCCACCUUUUAGCAAACGAAAGUGCAUUAAUGUGCACUGGUUACAAGCUGGACAUCCCUUAGAGCUUGUUGGCCGCUCUAUUUCACGGAUUAAAUCUCCCUCCUUGUUGAUUAGGCUUGAAAGUUGCAAAGACCAAACAGCAAAGAAAUAUGUCCUUUUAAUGAAAAGGACAUAUUUCACACUUAGCAACAAGAUGACCUGAGAAGCAGGACUGGCACAGAAUGAACAUACUUGGUGACCACCUUGGAAAGACAAUUAUGGAGUUAUACCUAUGGCUUUGCAUUCCCAAACACACAGGAUUUCUUCUGUCUUGUUAAGAUAAUGAUUUUUGUGAAUGUACAAGGACAUUGAUGCAACAAACACAGCAAUAAUGGACCUAAAGGCUGUGUCAGACUAAAGCAGGGGAAGGGUACUUUGGUACACUUCAUAUGAUUGGUCCUUGGAGCUUACACUCGUUUAUAAACACUUUUUGCCAGUAAACAUGUUGGAAAAACUCUACUUGCUGAUGGUUUUCCAAGGAUUCCAAUCCAAUUCCCAAGGUUCAUUUGAAAGACCAUUGAGUAGAGAAAUUGCUUCAAUAUUUAUCUUAAAUUCUGCCAAAUUUCUAGGAACCACCAUAUAAGUACUGUUUCAGGCAGCAUCUCCUGCAAAGGGAGAGAUGAAACUGCCACAUUAGAAAGUAAAUACUUACUAUCAGCUCUAUCAACAGCAACAUUUCCACUUCUGCCCUGAGCUGUUGGAGGUUUUCCUAGGAGAGAACUGCAGAUGAACGAUGUAAUGAGAAGUAUCAGCUACUGAAGACAGAAAAUGUUUAUGCUCAUAAUAAUGCCUACAAUAUAUAAAUUGUGCUUAUAAUAUUUCUGUAGCUUCUAAUGCUUAUAAGAGAGAAAUUCUAUUCUAAAGACCUGAAGUAAUUAAAAUGAGUAAUAAUGAGGUUCUAAAAGGAAUAUGGAGUAAGCUUGGGUA
Long non-coding RNA from Prinia subflava (tawny-flanked prinia), 1059 nucleotides. RefSeq lists it as uncharacterized. NCBI's taxonomy places the organism in Eukaryota, Metazoa, Chordata, Aves, Passeriformes, Cisticolidae. The record is from RefSeq and is a predicted model, not a curated record. The transcript has 6 exons.